UACGGAGGGUGCGAGCGUUGUCCGGAAUCAUUGGGCGUAAAGGGCGCGUAGGUGGCCCGGUCAGCGUGCGGUGAAAGCUCGGGGCUCAACCCCGAGUCGGCCGUGCGAACUGCUGGGCUUGAGCACUGUAGAGGCAGGCGGAAUUCCUGGUGUAGCGGUGAAAUGCGUAGAUAUCAGGAGGAACACCAACGGCGAAGGCAGCUUUCUGGACGAUAACUGACUCUGAGGCACGAAGGCCAGGGGAGCGAACGGG
Molecule: ribosomal RNA, 253 nt
Filed under: uncultured bacterium
Lineage: Bacteria
Description: partial 16S ribosomal RNA
Rfam family: Bacterial small subunit ribosomal RNA
Source: RNAcentral